RNAcentral lists this ribosomal RNA (301 nucleotides) under uncultured bacterium. Its description in RNAcentral is "partial 16S ribosomal RNA". It matches the Rfam family "Bacterial small subunit ribosomal RNA", at positions 509 to 807 of the family's 1533-position model. The record is from RNAcentral.
CAGUCGCCGCGGGAAUACGGAGGGUGCAAGCGUUAAUCGGAAUUACUGGGCGUAAAGCGCACGCAGGCGGUCUGUCAAGUUAGAUGUGAAAUCCCCGGGCUUAACCUGGGAACUGCAUUUGAAACUGGCAGGCUAGAGUCUUGUAGAGGGGGGUAGAAUUCCAGGUGUGGCGGUGAAAUGCGUAGAGAUCUGGAGGAAUACCGGUGGCGAAGGCGGCCCCCUGGACAAAGACUGACGCUCAGGUGCGAAAGCGUGGGGAGCAAACAGGAUUAGAGACCCCGGUAGUCCCUGUCUCUUAUAC